Molecule: ribosomal RNA, 446 nt
Filed under: uncultured bacterium
Lineage: Bacteria
Description: bacterial SSU rRNA
Rfam family: Bacterial small subunit ribosomal RNA
Source: RNAcentral
CCAGACUCCUACGGGAGGCAGCAGUGGGGAAUAUUGCACAAUGGGGGAAACCCUGAUGCAGCAACGCCGCGUGAGUGAAGAAGUAUUUCGGUAUGUAAAGCUCUAUCAGCAGGGAAGAAGAUGACGGUACCUGAAUAAGAAGCCCCGGCUGACUACGUGCCAGCAGCCGCGGUAAUACGUAGGGGGCGAGCGUUAUCCGGAUUCACUGGGUGUAAAGGGAGCGUAGACGGCCAUGCAAGCCAGGGGUGAAAGCCCGGGGCCCAACCCCGGGACUGCCCUUGGAACUGCAUGGCUGGAGUGCGGGAGGGGCAGGCGGAAUUCCUGGUGUAGCGGUGAAAUGCGUAGAUAUCAGGAGGAACACCGGCGGCGAAGGCGGCCUGCUGGACCGCGACUGACGUUGAGGCUCGAGAGCGUGGGGAGCAAACAGGAUUAGAUACCCGUGUAGG